Molecule: RNA transcript, 2418 nt
Organism: Mastomys coucha (southern multimammate mouse)
Lineage: Eukaryota; Metazoa; Chordata; Mammalia; Rodentia; Muridae
Gene: Gjc3
Gene name: gap junction protein gamma 3
Exons: 4
Source: RefSeq, a predicted model, not a curated record
GUCACUCUACAGAGAUCGUGCCUUGAGGGCAGGGUCCUCCGGUCCUUCAGUUGGAAUUCUUUUAUGCUGCAGCAAGCCUGCCAGGAAUGAAAAGGAGAAGGCAAAAGGGUGGGUGGCUGCAGGAGGCAGGGCCAUCGCAAGAUCCUAGACCCUGCAGGCUCCAGUGUGAGGAGGAUUCCUUUUGGCUUCUUUCUUCUGUGGUUGAUGCUUCUGCUUGGAGCUGCCAGGCAAGUGCAGGAUGUGUGGCAGGUUCCUGAGACAGCUAUUGGCUCAGGAGAGCCAGCACUCGACCCCUGUGGGGCGCUUCCUUCUUCCCAUCCUCAUGGGAUUCCGUCUCUUGAUCCUGGUUUCCAGUGGACCUGGGGUUUUUGGUGAUGAUGAGAAUGAAUUCAUAUGUCAUUUAGGGCAGCCAGGCUGCAAGACCAUUUGCUAUGAUGUCUUCCGCCCUCUCUCUCCAUUGCGCUUCUGGGCCUUCCAAGUCAUCCUGAUGGCCGUACCCAGUGCCAUUUAUGUGGCUUUUACUCUGUAUCAUGUGAUUGGAUACUGGGAGGUACCAGGAAAGGAGAACAAGGAGCAAGAGACCCGGAUUUGCAAAGGGGAUAGUAGCAAGGAUGUCUCAGGGGCUAAAAGCCUCAAGCUUCUCUGGGCCUAUGUGGCACACCUUGGGGUGCGGCUGGUCCUUGAAGGAGCAGCUCUAGGAGUUCAGUACCAUCUAUAUGGCUUCAAGAUGCCCAGCACUUUUAUAUGUCGUGAGGAUCCUUGCAUUGGCAGCACAACCUGUUUCCAGUCUCACCCCUCUGAGAAGACCAUCUUCCUCAACACCAUGUUUGGGAUCAGCGGAGCCUGUCUCUUAUUUAUUUUCUUGGAGCUUGCACUUUUGGGUUUAGGGAGAUUUUGGAGGAUGUACAAGCACAAACUUUCCUUCUUAAAGAAAUUGCCAACCUCAAAGAGCUCUGUAAGACACAAGGACACAACCGAUGACCUGUCAGUGGUAGAGACAAAAGAGCCAUUUUGAGAAGCAGAGUUGUAAAGUUGCCUGGCUUGCCUGCAGGAAACUCUGCGACUUGAUCUUCAAUACAUCCAGUGAGGUGGCCGGGGAGAUGGUACAGUGGGUAAAGGUGCUUGCAGUCAAGCCUCAUGACCUGAGAGUCAUCUCCAGAACCCCCAUGGAGAAGGGAGAAAACCAACUCCCACAAGUUGUCCACAUACAUGCCAUGGAGAGUGCACACAUGCAAACACAUGCACAUGAUAAUAAUAAAUAAAAUAAUAAAAUCUCAGAAAACAAAACAAAACCCCUGCAUCAAUUAGCUGUCACUUCUAACUUUUCUCUCCUGUCUUACCACUAAACAUAAGCAAAAACCAAGCUACUUUCUGUUCUAAUGGAUUAUCUAUCCUAUCCUGGGAUUUUGUAGAGAUGGAAUCAUACAAUAUGCUUAUUAAUCAUUUGUAUAUCUUUGUAGAAAAGACCAAGUUUUUUGCCAAUUAAAAUUAGGUUAUUAUUUAUUUUUGUAAUGUAUACAUUCUUUAUAUAUUAUAAUUGUUAGAUACCUAUCAAGUGACUCAUUUCACAACAUUCUCUUCUAUUCCAUUGGUCAUCUUCAUUUUCUUCCUGAGUAACAGUUCUUUAAAAUUAUUUAUUCUUUGAUAAUUUCCUACAUAUCUACCCCCAUAUCCCUGUUCUUGGAUCUCCUGUCAUAUCCCUAUCCUAAUCUCUUGUCCUCUUCUUUAUAACCCACCGAGAACAAAAAUCAGUGUUACUCAAAUGUGCACUGGUGUGCAACCAUCUACUGGAGCAUGGUCAACCUACUUGAUGCCACACCUCUGAAGAAGAUGGAGUCUCCCUGCCCCAGCAUUGAUCAAGUGUCAACAGUUCCUCAGCUUCUUCAGUGCAGUGGCUACAUCUCAUAACUUCAGUACAUCAGGAGGAACUCUCACCUCCAAGCCCCAGCUAGAAUAACAGUCAACUCAGUGGGUAGGAAACUGCCCAGACUGUGGAAAGCUAAGUGUGGCCAGCAGAGGUCACUGACAUGCAAAGAAGAAAAGCUACUAAAGUGAACGGAGCUCUUGUGGGACAUAGCAUUCUGUCAGACUCAGUAGCAUCAUACACUGGAGGAAAGACAAAAUUCCACGCGUCACCAGACCCUUUCCUUCACUCCAUGCAUGUAAGUAAUCCAGGGCUACACAGAGAAACCCUGACUUGAAAAACCAACCAAUGAACUAAAGAAAAAAAAAAAAAAGAAAUUCUUGUGGGUGUGUGCCUGAAGAGAUCAACACACUUUAAGAGAUGCUUGCUCAUUCUUGUUGACGGCUACACUCUUACUAGGAAAUGGUACAAUUCUAUAUGUCUAUCAAUAGGUGAGUUGAUAAAUGUGAUCCUUAUGUAGAAUAGAAUUUUUGUUAUUGUGCAGAAGAUGAAUU